This 252-nucleotide ribosomal RNA is filed under the name uncultured bacterium. Its description in RNAcentral is "partial 16S ribosomal RNA". It matches the Rfam family "Bacterial small subunit ribosomal RNA", at positions 524 to 776 of the family's 1533-position model. The record is from RNAcentral.
UACGUAGGGUGCAAGCGUUAAUCGGAAUUACUGGGCGUAAAGCGUGCGCAGGCGGUGAUGUAAGACAGAUGUGAAAUCCCCGGGCUCAACCUGGGAACUGCAUUUGUGACUGCAUCGCUGGAGUACGGCAGAGGGGAUGGAAUUCCGCGUGUAGCAGUGAAAUGCGUAGAUAUGCGGAGGAACACCGAUGGCGAAGGCAAUCCCCUGGGCCUGUACUGACGCUCAUGCACGAAAGCGUGGGGAGCAAACAGG